GACAGGAGGAGGGGAAGAACAGACACUGGGGCCUAUUGGAGGGUGGAGAGGGAAGGAGAGAGAAGAUCAGAAAAAUAACUAUUGGGUAUUAGGCUUAAUAUUUGAGUGACAAAAUAAUCUGUACAACAAAUCCCCAUGACACAAGUUUACCUAUAGAAUAGACCUGCACAUAUACCCCUGAACCUAAAAGUUUUUUUAAAAAAAAUGGGCAAAAGACCUCAAGCUGGAAGCCAUCAUUCUCAGCAAACUAACACAGAAACAGAAAACCAAAUACCCCAUGUUCUCACUCAUAAGUGGGAGUUGAACAGUGAGAACACAUGGGCACAGAGAGGGGAACAUCACAUACUGGGGCAUGUCAGUGGGUGGGGGCCAAGGAGAGGGAGAGCAUUAGGACAAAUAUCUAAUGCAUGCAGGGCUUAAAACCUAGGUUGAUAGGUGCAGCAAACCACCAUGGCACAUGUAUACCUGUGUAACAUUUACAUAGACAUUUCUCAAGGGAAGACAUAAAGGACACAUUUUAAAAGCCCUAAUAAAAUUAUUAGUUCAGCUUCCAGUUAUUCCUUAUUAUUGGUCUUGCUUUAACCUUGUACCCAGGUUUCUACAACUAGGCCACCUCCUUGCUUUCUAGUUUCAACAAAUAAGCCCGUCUUAUCCUGCUCUGUUAACAUGAUAGAGUGGGUUUUUUACCAC
Molecule: long non-coding RNA, 690 nt
Filed under: Homo sapiens (human)
Lineage: Eukaryota; Metazoa; Chordata; Mammalia; Primates; Hominidae
Description: non-protein coding lnc-SGCG-13:1
Source: RNAcentral